UGGGGAAUAUUGGACAAUGGGCGAAAGCCUGAUCCAGCCAUGCCGCGUGUGUGAAGAAGGUCUUCGGAUUGUAAAGCACUUUAAGUUGGGAGGAAGGGCAUUAACCUAAUACGUUAGUGUUUUGACGUUACCGACAGAAUAAGCACCGGCUAACUCUGUGCCAGCAGCCGCGGAAAUACAGAGGGUGCAAGCGUUAAUCGGAAUUACUGGGCGUAAAGCGCGCGUAGUUGGUUUGUUAAGUUGGAUGUGAAAUCCCCGGGCUCAACCUGGGAACUGCAUUCAAAACUGACUGACUAGAGUAUGGUAGAGGGUGGUGGAAUUUCCUGUGUAGCGGUGAAAUGCGUAGAUAUAGGAAGGAACACCAGUGGCGAAGGCGACCACCUGGACUAAUACUGACACUGAGGUGCGAAAGCGUGGGGAGCAAACA
Molecule: ribosomal RNA, 427 nt
Filed under: uncultured bacterium
Lineage: Bacteria
Description: partial 16S ribosomal RNA
Rfam family: Bacterial small subunit ribosomal RNA
Source: RNAcentral